Molecule: ribosomal RNA, 494 nt
Filed under: uncultured bacterium
Lineage: Bacteria
Description: partial 16S ribosomal RNA
Rfam family: Bacterial small subunit ribosomal RNA
Source: RNAcentral
GACGAACGCUGGCGGCGUGCUUAACACAUGCAAGUCGAACGGAAAGGCCUGCUUUCCCUUGUGGAUUGCGGGUACUCGAGUGGCGAACGGGUGAGUAACACGUGAGUGAUCUGCCCCCAACUUUGGUAUAAGCCUGGGAAACUGGGUCUAAUUCCCGCUAGGUCUGCAGGGUGGUGCCUGUGGUUGCAAACGAUUUUCUUGUGGUUGGGGAUGAGCUCGCGGGCUAUCAGGUUGUUGGUGGGGUAAUGGCCUACCAAGGCGGCGUCAGGUAGGCGGCCUGGGAUAGUGGGCGGGAGAGUGUGAACGGAGAUAUGGGGAAGGAGACUACGGGAAGCAGCAGAGGGGAAUAAUGCGCGAUGAACGGUGGCCUAAUGCCGCGACGCCGAGUGAGGAAUGACGGCCGUCGGAUUGUGAACUCCUUGCGGCCGCGAGGAAGCGACCGGGUUGGAGGGUGGGUGACGGUAGUGGUAGAAGAAGCACCGGCUAACUACGUG